This 377-nucleotide unclassified non-coding RNA is filed under the name uncultured fungus. RNAcentral's name for it is "partial contains 5.8S ribosomal RNA, internal transcribed spacer 2, and large subunit ribosomal RNA". The record is from RNAcentral. Lineage: Eukaryota; Fungi.
AACGCACAUUGCGCUCUCCGGUACUCCGGUGAGCAUGCCCGUUUCAGAAUCAGUAACAAUUCUCGCCAAACUCGUGCGGUUCCGGGGGGGACGCCGAGCGAGGCGGAUUUUGGAUGCGCUGUUUCUUCCGGUCUUUUCCGGGGGAGACUCGUCCCAAACGCAUGGGAACUGCGAAGGCCCCGUUUCCUUCUCUGGAGACGGACCUUGCAAAGAUGGAACAAAAACCUUUCGGGUUUGGAACCUACUCUUUGCUCGGUUGAAGGCGCUUUCGUUUUGCUUUCCGCCACGCCCAAUCUCGGGCAACCGAAGGAUUCCUCCUUGGAGAAGUCCUUCAAGAACUUGGUCUGAAAUCGGGCAAGAAAACCCGCUGAACUUAA